GCCCGAGUUGUAAUCUAUAGAAACGUUUUCCGCGUUGGCCCAUGUACAAGUCUCCUGGAAUGGAGCGUCAUAGAGGGUGAGAAUCCCGUCCUUGACAUGGACUACCAGUGCUUUGUGAUACGUUUUCAAAGAGUCGAGUUGUUUGGGAAUGCAGCUCAAAAUGGGUGGUAAAUUCCAUCUAAAGCUAAAUAUUGGCGAGAGACCGAUAGCGAACAAGUACCGUGAGGGAAAGAUGAAAAGCACUUUGGAAAGAGAGUUAAACAGUAUGUGAAAUUGUUGAAAGGGAAACGAUUGAAGUCAGUCAUGUCUAUUGGACUCAGCCGGUUCUGCCGGUGUACUUCCUUUAGAUGGGGUCAACAUCAGUUUUGAUCGCUGGAAAAGGGCAGGAGGAAUGUAGCACUCUCGGGUGAACUUAUAGCCUUCUGUCGUAUACAGUGGUUGGGACUGAGGAACGCAGCAUGCCUUUAUGGCCGGGGUUCGCCCACGUACAUGCUUAGGAUGUUGA
This 505-nucleotide ribosomal RNA is filed under the name Solicoccozyma terrea. Its description in RNAcentral is "eukaryotic LSU rRNA". It matches the Rfam family "Eukaryotic large subunit ribosomal RNA", at positions 136 to 629 of the family's 3401-position model. The record is from RNAcentral. Lineage: Eukaryota; Fungi; Basidiomycota; Tremellomycetes; Filobasidiales; Piskurozymaceae.